GUGACAAAAUUUCCAAAAGAUUCUGCAAUCACAUAAAUGAUUUCUGAAAUGAAGAAACAAAUGAAAAAAAAAAUUAAAAAUGAAAAUGUUUCUAGAAACAGAGACCUCUGAACAGAGCAUGUUUAUAGUGCUGGAUACCUUCAAUAUCACAUUCCUGUAGAUUAGACCUCAGUUUGAGGCAAAUGCUUUACAUUUUAUAGAUGAAAGUCCAGAUUGCCAUUUUGUUUUCCCAGAAACCAAAUCAAAUAAACGCAAAAACUAUGGGGUUUUUGCUGUUUAAAUUAUUGAAGUAUGUAGAAAUAUAAUAUUUGAUGUUGUAUUUCAUAAUAAAGAUUACAACCUAUUUAUAUAUAAAAGACGUUAUCUAAACAGGAAAGAAAAUCAAGUCUAUAAUUAUACAAUCCCUAAGAUUAAGCAACUAACCCAUCUAUCAAUAUUUACUUCCUAUAUUAAUAUAUUUACUUCUUAUAAUCUAUAACACUCCCCUCAAGUUGGAGUAUAAAUGUUAAUCAUGUCCAACUUGUUACAUAUAUAAUCAACUCGUCCCAUACAACUUAACAGACACCGAAUUUGUAAACCCAACUUCUUCCAAUAAUUGACGUACGCACAAAACUUCACAAACGGUUUUUUGCCAUGACUCAACAUUUAGAUUCAGCACUAGAACGGGAGACCACAUUUUCUCAGCUUAGUAAAACGCCUUACUGUGAAUAGAAUUUCGAAUCCGUGAACAGUACUCGUGAUCAGUACCCGAGAAACACUACUCGUGAACAGUACCCUCGAUGAACAGUACUCGUGAACAGUACCCGAUGAAUAAUUCCCGUGAACAAUACUUGAUGAAUAAUUCCCGUGAACAAUACCUAAUGAACAGAGCCCUAAGUCUCCAAGUGUUAACCUUUAUGGAUAACUCAAAUGAACAUAGACCUAAGUCUCCAAAUGUUACCCUCUAUGAGUAACCCAAAUGAAUAAAACCCUAAGUCUCCAAAUGUUACCCUUUAUGAGUAACCCAAAUGAAUAGAGUUCUACGUGAGUAACCCAAAUGAAUAGAGUCCUACGUGAGUAACCCAAAUGAAUAGAGUCCUACGUGAGUAACCCAAAUGAACAGAGUCCUACGUGAGUAACCCAAAUGAAUAGAGUCCUACGUGAGUAACCCAAAUGAACAGAGCCCUAAGUCUCUAAAUGUUACCCUUUGUGAAUAACCCAAAUGAACAGAGCCCUAAGUCUCCAAAUGUUACUCUUUAUGAGUAACCCAAAUGAACAGAGCGCUACUGUCUCCAAAUGUUAUCCUUUAUGGAUAACCCAAAUGAACGGAGCCCUAAGUCUCCAAAAAAAUUUUAAAACUUUACGAGAGAGAAAAGAAAAAAAAAAAAUCUCUAUGAGAAAGGCUCUGAUACCAUGUAGAAAUAUAAUAUUUGAUGUUGUAUUUCAUAAUAAAGAUUACAACCUAUUUAUAUAUAAAAGACGGUAUCUAAACAGGAAAGAAAAUCAAGUCUAUAAUUAUACAAUCCCUAAGAUUAAGCAACUAACCCAUCUAUCAAUAUUUACUUCCUAUAUUAAUAUAUUUACUUCUUAUAAUCUAUAACAAAGUACAAGAAAAGAUAACAAUAAAAGGAUAGUAAAACGACCAAGCAAUAAGACUUAACA
RNAcentral lists this long non-coding RNA (1641 nucleotides) under Manihot esculenta (cassava). RNAcentral's name for it is "long non-coding RNA (MESC_LNC006287)". The record is from RNAcentral. Lineage: Eukaryota; Viridiplantae; Streptophyta; Magnoliopsida; Malpighiales; Euphorbiaceae.